GGCCUACCAUGGUGGUAACGGGUAACGGGGUGUUAGGGCACGACACCGGAGAGGGAGCCUGAGAAACGGCUACCACAUCCAAGGAUGGCAGCAGGCGCGCAAAUUACCCAAUCCCGACACGGGGAGGUAGUGACAAUAAAUAACAAUACGGGGUUCUUUCGGAUCUCGUAAUUGGAAUGAGUACAAUUUAAAUCUCUUAACGAGGAACAAUUGGAGGGCAAGUCUGGUGCCAGCAGCCGCGGUAAUUCCAGCUCCAAUAGCGUAUAUUAAAGUUGUUGCAGUUAAAAAGCUCGUAGUUGAAUUUCGGGGUUAGUAGGUUGGUCAUGCCUCUGGUAUGUACUGGUCUCACUGAUUCCUCCUUCCUGAUGAACCGUAAUGCCAUUAAUUUGGUGUUGCGGGGAAUUUGGACUGUUACUUUGAAAAAAUUAGAGUGUUUAAAGCAAGCUAACGCUUGAAUACAUUAGCAUGGAAUAAUGAAAUAGGACGUUCGAUCCUAUUUUGUUGGUUUCUAGGAUUGACGUAAUGAUUAAUAGGGAUAGUUGGGGGCAUUAGUAUUCAAUUGUCAGAGGUGAAAUUCUUGGAUUUAUUGAAGACUAACUACUGCGAAAGCAUUUGCCAAGGAUGUUUUCAUUAAUCAAGAACGAAAGUUAGGGGAUCGAAGACGAUCAGAUACCGUCGUAGUCUUAACCAUAAACUAUGCCGACUAGGGAUCGGGAUGAUGUUAAUUUUUUAAUGACUCAUUCGGCGCCUUACG
This 754-nucleotide ribosomal RNA is filed under the name uncultured Glomus. RNAcentral describes it as "SSU rRNA". It matches the Rfam family "Eukaryotic small subunit ribosomal RNA", at positions 338 to 1092 of the family's 1831-position model. Lineage: Eukaryota; Fungi; Glomeromycota; Glomeromycetes; Glomerales; Glomeraceae. The record is from RNAcentral.